RNAcentral lists this ribosomal RNA (1031 nucleotides) under Vibrio sp. Hep-1b-8. RNAcentral's name for it is "bacterial SSU rRNA". It matches the Rfam family "Bacterial small subunit ribosomal RNA", at positions 1 to 996 of the family's 1533-position model. The record is from RNAcentral. Lineage: Bacteria; Pseudomonadati; Pseudomonadota; Gammaproteobacteria; Vibrionales; Vibrionaceae.
AAAUUGAAGAGUUUGAUCAUGGCUCAGAUUGAACGCUGGCGGCAGGCCUAACACAUGCAAGUCGAGCGGAAACGAGUUAACUGAACCUUCGGGGAACGUUAACGGCGUCGAGCGGCGGACGGGUGAGUAAUGCCUGGGAAAUUGCCCUGAUGUGGGGGAUAACCAUUGGAAACGAUGGCUAAUACCGCAUAAUAGCCCGGUUCUUCGGAAUUGGUCUCAAAGAGGGGGACCUUUUAGGCCUCUCGCGUCAGGAUAUGCCCAGGUGGGAUUAGCUAGUUGGUGAGGUAAUGGCUCACCAAGGCGACGAUCCCUAGCUGGUCUGAGAGGAUGAUCAGCCACACUGGAACUGAGACACGGUCCAGACUCCUACGGGAGGCAGCAGUGGGGAAUAUUGCACAAUGGGCGCAAGCCUGAUGCAGCCAUGCCGCGUGUAUGAAGAAGGCCUUCGGGUUGUAAAGUACUUUCAGCAGUGAGGAAGGUGGAUAUGUUAAUAGCAUAUUCAUUUGACGUUAGCUGCAGAAGAAGCACCGGCUAACUCCGUGCCAGCAGCCGCGGUAAUACGGAGGGUGCGAGCGUUAAUCGGAAUUACUGGGCGUAAAGCGCAUGCAGGUGGUUUGUUAAGUCAGAUGUGAAAGCCCGGGGCUCAACCUCGGAAUUGCAUUUGAAACUGGCAAACUAGAGUACUGUAGAGGGGGGUAGAAUUUCAGGUGUAGCGGUGAAAUGCGUAGAGAUCUGAAGGAAUACCGGUGGCGAAGGCGGCCCCCUGGACAGAUACUGACACUCAGAUGCGAAAGCGUGGGGAGCAAACAGGAUUAGAUACCCUGGUAGUCCACGCCGUAAACGAUGUCUACUUGGAGGUUGUGGCCUUGAGCCGUGGCUUUCGGAGCUAACGCGUUAAGUAGACCGCCUGGGGAGUACGGUCGCAAGAUUAAAACUCAAAUGAAUUGACGGGGGCCCGCACAAGCGGUGGAGCAUGUGGUUUAAUUCGAUGCAACGCGAAGAACCUUACCUACUCUUGACAUCUACAGAAG